Molecule: ribosomal RNA, 147 nt
Filed under: uncultured bacterium
Lineage: Bacteria
Description: partial 16S ribosomal RNA
Rfam family: Bacterial small subunit ribosomal RNA
Source: RNAcentral
AAACCCGGUGGUAUACGAUGGAUCCGCGUCUGAUUAGCUUGUUGGCGGGGUAAAGGCCCACCAAGGCGACGAUCAGUAGCCGGCCUGAGAGGGUGAACGGCCACAUUGGGACUGAGACACGGCCCAAACUCCUACGGGAGGCAGCAG